CCUACGGGUGGCAGCAGUGAGGAAUAUUGGUCAAUGGGCGAGAGCCUGAACCAGCCAAGUCGCGUGAGGGAAGACGGUCCUAUGGAUUGUAAACCUCUUUUGCCGGGGAGCAAAAAGCGGUACGUGUACCGCAUCGAGAGUACCCGGAGAAAAAGCAUCGGCUAACUCCGUGCCAGCAGCCGCGGUAAUACGGAGGAUGCGAGCGUUAUCCGGAUUUAUUGGGUUUAAAGGGUGCGCAGGCGGAAUGUCAAGUCAGCGGUAAAAUUUCGGGGCUCAACCCCGUCGUGCCGUUGAAACUGGCGUUCUUGAGUGAGCGAGAAGUAUGCGGAAUGCGUGGUGUAGCGGUGAAAUGCAUAGAUAUCACGCAGAACUCCGAUUGCGAAGGCAGCAUACCGGCGCUCAACUGACGCUCAUGCACGAAAGCGUGGGUAUCGAACAGGAUUAGAUACCCCAGUAGUC
This 459-nucleotide ribosomal RNA is filed under the name uncultured bacterium. RNAcentral's name for it is "partial 16S ribosomal RNA". It matches the Rfam family "Bacterial small subunit ribosomal RNA", at positions 338 to 795 of the family's 1533-position model. The record is from RNAcentral.